RNAcentral lists this ribosomal RNA (447 nucleotides) under uncultured bacterium. Its description in RNAcentral is "bacterial SSU rRNA". It matches the Rfam family "Bacterial small subunit ribosomal RNA", at positions 64 to 507 of the family's 1533-position model. The record is from RNAcentral.
GAGGGGUGCCAUAGUAGCAAUACUAUGGUGACCGGCGGACGGGUGCGUAACAUGUACGCAACCUACCUCUUACAGGAGGAUAGCUCUCGGAAACGGGAAUUAAUACUCCAUAAUAUUCUAUUAGGGCAUCCUAAUAGGAUUAAAGCCGGAAGGCGGUAAGAGAUGGGCGUGCGGCUGAUUAGCUAGUUGGUAGGGUAACGGCCUACCAAGGCUAUGAUCGGUAGGGGAACUGAGAGGUUGGUCCCCCACACGGGCACUGAGACACGGGCCCGACUCCUACGGGAGGCAGCAGUAAGGAAUAUUGGACAAUGGGCGGAAGCCUGAUCCAGCCAUGCCGCGUGCAGGAAGAAGGCCCUAUGGGUUGUAAACUGCUUUUGCAGGGGAGAAAUAAGGUUGAUUUAUCGACCGAUGAUAGUACUCUGCGAAUAAGCAUCGGCUAACUUCGUG